Non-coding RNA from Acanthosepion pharaonis, 114 nucleotides. Lineage: Eukaryota; Metazoa; Mollusca; Cephalopoda; Sepiida; Sepiidae. The record is from the annotation of a GenBank genome assembly.
UUGCAGCCAUAUCAUGUUGAAACAUCAGUUCUCAUACGAUCACUGAAGUUAAGCCAUGUCGAGCCUGGUCACUACCUAGAUGGUUGACCACUUGAGAGCACCAGGUGCUGUAAG